RNA transcript from Abrus precatorius (Indian licorice), 2991 nucleotides. It is a transcript of the gene named zinc finger protein ZOP1, with no coding region annotated. The record is from RefSeq and is a predicted model, not a curated record. The transcript has 7 exons. NCBI's taxonomy places the organism in Eukaryota, Viridiplantae, Streptophyta, Magnoliopsida, Fabales, Fabaceae.
AAAAAAAACAUAGAUACACAAGAAGCUCCCAACAACGUCUCUCAUGAAGUCUUUGACAUUGUUUUGAUUCGGAAAACUUCUGCUUUGCUUUUAGGAGGGUUUUGAAAUUUGAAGAAUUUUGGGUGCACUUGAUAGCAAAAACGAACGCGAACUACCUUGUUUCCCUCUUCUCAGCUUCAAUUCAAUUUGAAUUCUUGCGGCGUCUUCAUAGCAUCCUAUUGCCAACCCUAAUUUGCUGCCAUGACUGAGUACUGGGUCAGCCAGGGCAACAAAUGGUGCGACUUUUGCAAAAUUUAUAUAUCAAACAACCCUUCAAGCAUCAGAAAUCAUGAGCUUGGUCAACGUCAUAAAGAUAAUGUUGCCAAGAGGCUGGCUGCUAUGAGAAAAGAGAAUAUUGCCAAGGAGAAAGAACAGAAAGAAACAGCUCGUGCCCUUGAGCAAAUUGAAGCAAAAGCACAGCGUAGCUAUCAAAAGGAUAAAGCAAAGUUUGAGGAAGCCAGAGAAUCGAAUGAAUUGGAUGCCCAAGAAUGGGAGUUUGACAGCAAUUCAGGCUAUUUCUACCAUAAAACAAAUGGAUUUUACUAUGAUCCCAAGUCUGCAUUUUACUAUUCAGAUGCCAUCGGAAAAUGGGCGACACAGGAAGAAGCAUAUGCCUCCCCUCACUUUACAUCUAUUGCUGGGCACAAUGGACCAGCUGUGAAGAAGGCCUUGUCAACUUCACAAUCCAAAUCAGAUGAAAAUAAAGCGAACAAAUCUUCACCUGGACCAGUUUUUACAACAACUCUGAAUCCCAUGAGAAAUGUGAAAGCCGCACCUUCAUCUCUUGCGGUUGGAAAGAGGAAAAGAACUGAUGAAAAAUCCAAGGUUAUAUCCGAUGAAGAAAAAGCAGCUCUCAAAGCAAGAGAGGCUGCAAGGAAAAGAGUACAGGAGAGGGAGAAACCUUUGCUUGGGCUUUACAGCAAGCCAUACUAAGGAUGGAAAAAUUUACUCUAACACCUGUGUCUUCCACCAGAAAUGAGGGUUGCGCUAGCUUCUUUUUCCUGAUACAUUUAUGAUUGUCAUUAACUUGGGUGUCCUAAUUCGGCAAGGGUUUCCAUGUUACUGUUGUACCAUGUAAAAUAUAACUGCUCCAAUUUUUUCACUACAUGCUAAUUUUCAGCCUUAUUUGAUGGGAGAGGAGGAAAGGAGAAUUGAAAAGUAUUCGUUAGGCUGAUGAAAGCAAGUUUACUCCCUGUUGCAGAAGCUUUUAGGAAACACAUCCAACUCUAGCAUCAAGACCAGUUGUUGGCUCAUCCAUAAAAAUAAUGGAAGGAUUUGCAACCAAUUCCACAGCAAUGGUAAGCCUCUUUCUCUGCUCUGUCGAUAAGCCAUCUAUUCCAGGAAGGCCUACUAUAAAAUGCCUCACUGGUUGGAGCUCCACCAGCUCUAAAAUUUCCUCAAUGAACAUCUGUAAGCCUCUGUUGACCCUGCGAUUCGUCUUCCAUAAUGUUAAGAGAAGAGGAAGUCGUGAAUCCAACCUCAGAAAAAGGGGAUAUCCAAUCUCCAACUGUAGAAUAUUCACCUUAUGUAGAGACUCAAUGGAAGAAAUUAUUUGAAGUGUGCCCAGCUUGUUCUCAUAAUGCUGAAGGGAAAAGGAAAGUCAGGACAUUUGACGGAGGCUGCACCAAAGAAGGAGGAUCCCAAGUUUGCUAAAUGGGAUGAGGAAGAUUUAAUGAUUAUGGCAUGGCUCUGGAAUUCAAUGAUUCUAGAAAUCAGUGACACCUGUAUAUUCCUUAAUUCGGCAAGAGAGAUCUAGGAUGUUGUAGAGAAAACCUACUCUAAGGCCAAAGAUGCUGCCCAAGUAUAUGAAGUAAAGAUAAAAAAACCUUGACAGCAUGCAAGGAAAUAAGACUGUUACUGAAUAUGCAAAUUAGCUUAAAUCUUUGUGGAUGGAAUUGGACCAUGACCAUUAUAGGGUCACAAAAACCAAGUGUUCUAAGGAUGCAGCAAUUCUCAAGGAAUACAUUGAACAAGAUAGGGUGUAUGACUUCCUUAUUAGGCUGAAUCCUGAAUUGGACCAAGUUAGGGUUCAAAUUUUGGGGAAGCAAAAGGUAUUGUGCUUCAAUGAGGUGGUGGUGAUUGUGAGAAGUGAAGAGAGUAGGAGGAGUCUCAUAUUAGAUAGUCUAACAAUGGAAAAAUUUGCUAUGAUGGCUGAACAAAUGAAAGGAGGAUCCACACAAACAGAGAAGAAAGGUGAUGGUCUUUGAUGCACCUAUUGUAAUAAGCCUCGCCAUACUCGAAACAAAUGCGGAAACUGCAUGAGAAACCUCCAAAAGGUGAAGAAAGCAAAUAUGAAGCUGCUGUUCAUGCUGAAACUACUACACACCUCAACCAAGAUGAGAUAGAAAGGCUGAGAACCUUUCUGAGCAAAUUGGAGAAACCUACAAGUGCAUGUUCCUUGCCAUACUCCAGAGCCACCGACCACGUGACACCAUUAGCCAAACUCUUCUCAUAUUUCCCAAAUUCCAGUAAUAAAAAAAUUGCCAUAGCUAACAGAACCUUAUAACUGCAGCCGGUCAUGGAAAUGUCCAGAUCAACCCCUCACUAAUCUUGAAAAAUGUCCUCCAUGUCCCAAAACUAUCCACCAACCUAGUUACUAUACAAAAACUCACAAAGGACCUGUCAUGUAAUGUUAUUUUCCACAACAAUCAUUGUAUUUUUCAGGACAAGGAUCUGGGAAGGACGAUUGGACAUGCUAGAGAAUGGAACCACCUUUACUUUCUUGAAGAUCCAAGUCUGUCUAGCCAAAACAGAAUUUCUCACUCCUUCAAAUCAGAAGUUGUGAUGACUAACAAAGAAAAGGUCAUACUGCAUCAUCGUUGGUUGGGCCCUUAAAUUCAAGGGAUCCUAGAAUAGAAUAGGGAGUUCUUAUGUUUUCUAAAAUAAGUAGGCCUGCUGUAUAUAUCUGUAUAAUGUCUCAAUGAAAUAAUAUACAGAUUUAACCUAUUUUUC